Molecule: long non-coding RNA, 1452 nt
Organism: Amphiprion ocellaris (clown anemonefish)
Lineage: Eukaryota; Metazoa; Chordata; Actinopteri; Pomacentridae
Source: Ensembl
ACCACAAACACCAUGACCCUAAAGACGAACACAAUAGAGAGCCACACUCUGCCGAAGGCUGUGGAGUACUUGUUCACCCCGCUGAGGAGGCCCUGGAGGAAUGCCCAGUUCAUGACGAGGUUUGUUCACAGUCUGUCGUCUCUUCCUGCUGAUAGAAGACAGACAAGCUGUUUUCAGCUGAAAAGCCACAGGCGAACUUCAGAUUUCGGAGCGGAGGAGCAGUCGCUGGAUGAAGCUCGCCGAUGACAAUCUCAGUAGAUUUCUCAACGGAACGGGACGGGAGUGGAGAGGGGGUGGAGUUGUUUGCCUGCCAUUUCUUCUUUCCACUCAACCUGCUCAGGUGGAAGCUGAAUUAGUGAGGAUGACUCCUGCUCCUGUCAUCUCUAAGCUCCUCACACAUCUUUACCUGCACAUGAGGAAAAUCACUCCUGUAGAAUGCAGAUGUUCAGAGGGAGAUGAUGCCACAUCUGGUCCAGCUGAUGGAAGGUCUUGAAGUUCUCUGACUGGCCUCGACUGAAGAUGGUCGUCUCACUGGAUUUAAGGUUCAGAUGCUCAGUAACAAACUCCACCAAUGAGCCAACAGGGAAGCUUUAGGUUUAUUAAAUGUUGCUAUGAAGGUAUCGCUGUUUUUCUUUGUGAAUGCAAUGUGUUCCAACUGAAACUUGAAUUAGAACUUAGAAGUAAAUCCUUCCAUCUGAAAGGAUUUAGUUGCAUUAAUAACCUCAUAACAUUCUAAUUUUUAUUCCAGUCUUGGUUGGAAAUAGAAUCUCUGUAUUGAUUCAGGUAAAAACUGAACUUCACAGCAUGUUGAAGCAAAACAACCAGAUGAAAACUGUGAUGGUGUUGGAUUGUCAGACUGUAAUGUUGCAGCUCAAAGCAGCUUUUCUAGCUCAGUUCAGUUCAGUUGGAGCUGCUUUGCACUUUUUACACUGUUUAUUCACCAACACUUUAUUUAAUAAAAGUCCCAUCUAGUUUUUAUGAGGAAUGUGAUGUUUUAAUUUCUCUGUGAAUAACUGCAGUCUAAUGCAACAGCUGGAAUUGUAACAUCUGUCCUGAUAUUGAUCAUGAAGUAUUGAUCAGAAUACUUAUGGUUAGCAGUCAUCCCUGAAGUUUUACAUUAAAAUCUUUACUUGUGUUGUGAACUUUGGUAAGAAGCAGAAACGUUAGCGUUGCCAUGGAUACAUGAGUGUUAAAUUCUGUCCAUGUUUCCAUUUUGGGAAAUUCAGUCCAGUUCCAGAAUGUGGAGGAAUUUAGUCUCACAAUCACAGACAACAAAUAUUAUCUGAAAGUCGGGUUAUUGUUGUUUAUCAGCACAAUACAAAAAGAUUAAUGUUAGAAAUAUUCCAGUUCAGACUCUAGAAUAUCAUGAUUUAUGUAAAUUUACCUCAAUAAUAUGAAUGUUCAGGUUAAGAUUGUACAGUGAUAUUUAUUAUGCAAGUUUAGCUGAUUAAA